UGUAAUCCGGUGUUAUGUGGCAUAUUAUGUUUUGGUCAUAAGGGAAAUUAGUAGUUGAUUACAG
RNAcentral lists this transfer RNA (64 nucleotides) under Echinostoma sp. JM-2019. Its description in RNAcentral is "tRNA-Gln". Lineage: Eukaryota; Metazoa; Platyhelminthes; Trematoda; Plagiorchiida; Echinostomatidae. The record is from RNAcentral.